This 400-nucleotide ribosomal RNA is filed under the name Escherichia coli. RNAcentral describes it as "bacterial SSU rRNA". It matches the Rfam family "Bacterial small subunit ribosomal RNA", at positions 1 to 397 of the family's 1533-position model. The record is from RNAcentral. Lineage: Bacteria; Pseudomonadati; Pseudomonadota; Gammaproteobacteria; Enterobacterales; Enterobacteriaceae. RNAcentral also lists the same sequence under 1 other name.
AAAUUGAAGAGUUUGAUCAUGGCUCAGAUUGAACGCUGGCGGCAGGCCUAACACAUGCAAGUCGAACGGUAACAGGAAACAGCUUGCUGUUUCGCUGACGAGUGGCGGACGGGUGAGUAAUGUCUGGGAAACUGCCUGAUGGAGGGGGAUAACUACUGGAAACGGUAGCUAAUACCGCAUAACGUCGCAAGACCAAAGAGGGGGACCCUCGGGCCUCUUGCCAUCGGAUGUGCCCAGAUGGGAUUAGCUUGUUGGUGGGGUAACGGCUCACCAAGGCGACGAUCCCUAGCUGGUCUGAGAGGAUGACCAGCCACACUGGAACUGAGACACGGUCCAGACUCCUACGGGAGGCAGCAGUGGGGAAUAUUGCACAAUGGGCGCAAGCCUGAUGCAGCCAUGC